This 490-nucleotide ribosomal RNA is filed under the name uncultured bacterium. RNAcentral describes it as "partial 16S ribosomal RNA". It matches the Rfam family "Bacterial small subunit ribosomal RNA", at positions 30 to 507 of the family's 1533-position model. The record is from RNAcentral.
AUUGAGCGCUGGCGGCAGGCCUAACACAUGCAAGUCGAACGGUAACAGGGAUCAGCUUGCUGAUUCGCUGACGAGUGGCGGACGGGUGAGUAAUGUCUGGGAAACUGCCUGAUGGAGGGGGAUAACUACUGGAAACGGUAGCUAAUACCGCAUAACGUCGCAAGACCAAAGAGGGGGACCUUCGGGCCUCUUGCCAUCGGAUGUGCCCAGAUGGGAUUAGCUAGUAGGUGGGGUAACGGCUCACCUAGGCGACGAUCCCUAGCUGGUCUGAGAGGAUGACCAGCCACACUGGAACUGAGACACGGUCCAGACUCCUACGGGAGGCAGCAGUGGGGAAUAUUGCACAAUGGGCGCAAGCCUGAUGCAGCCAUGCCGCGUGUAUGAAGAAGGCCUUCGGGUUGUAAAGUACUUUCAGCGGGGAGGAAGGGAGUAAAGUUAAUACCUUUGCUCAUUGACGUUACCCGCAGAAGAAGCACCGGCUAACUCCGUG